CCUAAUUACGGUUCUUUCCGCGAGUGGAACGCAGAGACUUCCGGCCAGCGCCACUUCCGCGGAAUGGAACGCAUGGUGUUCCGGUCGGUGGAACGCAAAAGACGCGUCUCCGGCAGUUGCCCUUCCAAAUCGUUAAAAUACACUCAUUUAAGUAGCCGUGCGUUAGCGAUAGCCACUGCCUGUCCUGUGAACCCUGUAACGUUUUUCCCAGUUGGUCUGAGUUAGUUAUCUGAGAGGUGAUCAGUUAAUGAGAGACUGGGUUUAUACUAAUCUCCUUAAUUGGCACUUCCUGUGGUUGAUCCUUAAAUAGUGCUCAGCUGAGGCUGAACUUUAUGCAGCUUCCAUUUGGCUCUGGACACUUGAGCAGUGAGUAUGGUUCUCCUGCAGCUCCCUUCUGACACAUGAUUACGGUUGGUGAUUAUUUUUUCCUGUUGUGCCUCCUUACAGACUGAGUGUCUGACACAUGUACAGAGCCCACAAGCUGCCAUGAGCUAUUUCUACAUGUAACUAGGUGACUACGCCUUGCAGCUUCCCCUACGUUAUAGGCUUUUUAACUUCAUUAUGUGAUCAGGCAUGUUGCCAACUUUGAAGGCCAUUCCACACAUCUGAGUGAUCUGGCUUGCCGUCCAGGUGAUUUAAGUGCCAAUCUUGAUAAAGGUCCGCAUAAGGACCGAAACGUCGAUGAAAUACGGCAUCAACAGUGAACCCGAAUAAAAAUAUACUGAAUUUACAA
This is a long non-coding RNA of Pseudophryne corroboree (corroboree frog), 733 nucleotides long. RefSeq lists it as uncharacterized. NCBI's taxonomy places the organism in Eukaryota, Metazoa, Chordata, Amphibia, Anura, Myobatrachidae. The transcript has 3 exons. The record is from RefSeq and is a predicted model, not a curated record.